CUAAUACAUGCAAGUCGAGCGGACAGAAGGGAGCUUGCUCCCGGAUGUUAGCGGCGGACGGGUGAGUAACACGUGGGUAACCUGCCUGUAAGACUGGGAUAACUCCGGGAAACCGGAGCUAAUACCGGAUAGUUCCUUGAACCGCAUGGUUCAAGGAUGAAAGACGGUUUCGGCUGUCACUUACAGAUGGACCCGCGGCGCAUUAGCUAGUUGGUGGGGUAAUGGCUCACCAAGGCGACGAUGCGUAGCCGACCUGAGAGGGUGAUCGGCCACACUGGGACUGAGACACGGCCCAGACUCCUACGGGAGGCAGCAGUAGGGAAUCUUCCGCAAUGGACGAAAGUCUGACGGAGCAACGCCGCGUGAGUGAUGAA
This 374-nucleotide ribosomal RNA is filed under the name Bacillus sp. IGC-03. Its description in RNAcentral is "bacterial SSU rRNA". It matches the Rfam family "Bacterial small subunit ribosomal RNA", at positions 48 to 412 of the family's 1533-position model. Lineage: Bacteria; Bacillati; Bacillota; Bacilli; Caryophanales; Bacillaceae. The record is from RNAcentral.